This 163-nucleotide ribosomal RNA is filed under the name uncultured bacterium. RNAcentral's name for it is "partial 16S ribosomal RNA". It matches the Rfam family "Bacterial small subunit ribosomal RNA", at positions 355 to 510 of the family's 1533-position model. The record is from RNAcentral.
UAGGGAAUCUUCCACAAUGGACGCAAGUCUGAUGGAGCAACGCCGCGUGAGUGAAGAAGGGUUUCGGCUCGUAAAGCUCUGUUGUUAAAGAAGAACGUGGGUAAGAGUAACUGUUUACCCAGUGACGGUAUUUAACCAGAAAGCCACGGCUAACUACGUGCCG